RNAcentral lists this transfer RNA (69 nucleotides) under Boraras maculatus (dwarf rasbora). Its description in RNAcentral is "tRNA-Phe". It matches the Rfam family "tRNA". From Rfam's summary of the family: Transfer RNA (tRNA) molecules are approximately 80 nucleotides in length. Their secondary structure includes four short double-helical elements and three loops (D, anti-codon, and T loops). Lineage: Eukaryota; Metazoa; Chordata; Actinopteri; Cypriniformes; Danionidae. The record is from RNAcentral.
GCUGGCGUAGCUUAAUAAAAAGCAUAGCACUGAAAAUGCUAAGAUGGGUCAUAAUAAACCCCGCACGCA